UCUCCUGAACAUCUUGUUAAAAUGCAAAUUAUGAUCUACUAGGUCUGAGAUUCUGCAUUUCUAACAAGCUUCAAGAUGAUGC
Molecule: microRNA precursor, 82 nt
Filed under: Loxodonta africana (African savanna elephant)
Lineage: Eukaryota; Metazoa; Chordata; Mammalia; Proboscidea; Elephantidae
Description: miRNA (ENSLAFG00000032285.1)
Source: RNAcentral